Polyporus arcularius HHB13444 is the source of this 80-nucleotide non-coding RNA. Lineage: Eukaryota; Fungi; Basidiomycota; Agaricomycetes; Polyporales; Polyporaceae. The record is from the annotation of a GenBank genome assembly.
ACACCGAUGGUGAAGUGGUUAUCAUGCUUGCCUUCCAUUUGAGGUAGCAAGCGGCACGGGUUCGAUUCCCGUUCGGUGUA